GCGGGCGUGAUCUAGGGGUAUGAUUAGGGCCUUCCAAGCCCUCUGCCCGGGUUCGAAUCCCGGCGCCCGCA
This 71-nucleotide transfer RNA is filed under the name Thermoplasmata archaeon. RNAcentral's name for it is "tRNA-Gly". It matches the Rfam family "tRNA". Rfam says of the family: Transfer RNA (tRNA) molecules are approximately 80 nucleotides in length. Their secondary structure includes four short double-helical elements and three loops (D, anti-codon, and T loops). Further hydrogen bonds mediate the characteristic L-shaped molecular structure. tRNAs have two regions of fundamental functional importance: the anti-codon, which is responsible for specific mRNA codon recognition, and the 3' end, to which the tRNAs corresponding amino acid is attached (by aminoacyl-tRNA synthetases). tRNAs cope with the degeneracy of the genetic code in two manners: having more than one tRNA (with a specific anti-codon) for a particular amino acid; and 'wobble' base-pairing, i.e. permitting non-standard base-pairing at the 3rd anti-codon position. RNAcentral also lists the same sequence under 2 other names. Lineage: Archaea; Methanobacteriati; Thermoplasmatota; Thermoplasmata. The record is from RNAcentral.